Molecule: long non-coding RNA, 948 nt
Organism: Oncorhynchus kisutch (coho salmon)
Lineage: Eukaryota; Metazoa; Chordata; Actinopteri; Salmoniformes; Salmonidae
Exons: 3
Source: RefSeq, a predicted model, not a curated record
UUGUUGAAUCUGAGUGUGUUUACUGAGGAGAACACAAGCCAGCCAGCUAGCAGCAACUUUAUAACUCAGGUCAAGAACUGCUGCGCUGUGUUCACACACCUUUCAGGAAGACACAACUCUGUAAUAAUCAAGGGUUUUAUCUCCGAUGUGUCCAUUUGUCAACUGGACCUCCAAAGGCGAGUUCAUUUGAGGUCAGACAGGACAUUUAAGAGGAUGCAGGCAGCUCACCACAGAGGAAACUCGGCUCCAGAGAGGAACUGUACCCCUCCCUCCCACUGCUGAGGAGAACACAAGCCAGCCAGCUAGCAGAAACCUUAAUUCAGGUCAAGCACUGCUCUGCUGUGUUCACACAGCUUCCAGGAAGACACAACUCUGGCCAUAUAAGAGGAGGCAGGCAGCUCACCACAGAGGAAACUCGGCUCCAGAGAGGAACUGUACCCCUCCCUCCCACUGCUGAGGAGAACACAAGCCAGCCAGCUAGCAGAAACCUUAACUCAGGUCAAGCACUGCUCUGCUGUGACACAGACUUGAUAGAGGAUGGAGUAAAUGGAUAAGGCGGAUAUAUUGUAGGUCAUGCUGCUUCCUACUUCCUGUUCUCCCAGGGAAAUCAUGUCUCUGCCUGCUGUGAUGUCUAUAGAGAGGGUCAAAACAACACUGACCUGUUUUUAUUUGGGAUUCCUCUCUUCCAUGUAAAACAACUCAUGUAAAGUCUAUUGUUGGAAGUCAAGUGACCUCGCUCUGUGCUCUGCACAAUCUUGUUUCUUUGAUAUGAUAACGUUAUUUGAUCAGUGUUUUCUUCUAACAUGAAUUGAUUAUUGUUCAAUUUCUUUCAAAUGUAACAUUUACAAUUGCUGUUAUGAACCAUCUUUGUCAUGAUAACACAUAUCCCCACCAACCAAGGUGAUCAUGGUUAUUUUGAAAAUAAAUCCAAAAACCAUUCAAAGAAAA